GCCUGUAUUUCAGGAAUAAUUCCACUUCCAUAUGUGGUAGAGAUGAUUGAAAUGGCAUUAAUAGCACCAAAAAAUCGAUUUUCUUGAGAUCCAUUUAUGGAGUAAUCCUUAGGAGGUGCAUUCUUAGAAUUUCCAAUAUAUAUAGAACCAGCAGUGGCGCAAGCACUGUAAGCAAGAAUGAGGAUCAAAGAGACAAGGUUAAUAUGCCUUAGAGAGUGGAAGGAUGGCAUUUGUGCCAAAACUAAUGUUGCAGCUCCAAAAAUAAUUAUAAACUGGUACAGCUUCAUUUCUCCAUUAGAGUCGUACAGAAGGUAAAUGAACUUAAGGCUCUGCCCCCCAAGAAGAGAGCAGGCAAUAACAGCACCAUAGCAUGUUGCAAAUUGAAGUGGACCCACAAAAUACUUGCCCCAUCCAGGUCCUAGAAUGUCUCUGGCCAUGUCUCGGAAUCGAAGCUGACGCUUGCCAAGUUGUGCUUGAUGCUCCAAAACCACAGACAACAGAUUGUAUGAAUAGAAAGUCACUAGAGCUGCAAGAGUUAUGCUUAAAAUUCCAGGGCCCCAUCCUAACAAGGCCAGAGCAAAGGGAAGACUAAAGAUCACAGGACCAACAAUGGAUGUUGUCAAAUGAUAUCCACAGUGUAACCAUGAUCCUCGCGAUUUGAGGACAAACAGUGCACCAGCAUCAAGUUCUCCUGGAUCAGUUUCCUUAUCUGCUUUCGAUAUGUUGAUAUAGUUUGGAACCACAGUUUCCAUCUCUCCCUGCAUAUUCU
Molecule: unclassified non-coding RNA, 769 nt
Filed under: Hevea brasiliensis (rubber tree)
Lineage: Eukaryota; Viridiplantae; Streptophyta; Magnoliopsida; Malpighiales; Euphorbiaceae
Source: RNAcentral